RNAcentral lists this transfer RNA (90 nucleotides) under Pseudomonadales bacterium. RNAcentral's name for it is "tRNA-Ser". It matches the Rfam family "tRNA". Rfam says of the family: Transfer RNA (tRNA) molecules are approximately 80 nucleotides in length. Their secondary structure includes four short double-helical elements and three loops (D, anti-codon, and T loops). Further hydrogen bonds mediate the characteristic L-shaped molecular structure. tRNAs have two regions of fundamental functional importance: the anti-codon, which is responsible for specific mRNA codon recognition, and the 3' end, to which the tRNAs corresponding amino acid is attached (by aminoacyl-tRNA synthetases). tRNAs cope with the degeneracy of the genetic code in two manners: having more than one tRNA (with a specific anti-codon) for a particular amino acid; and 'wobble' base-pairing, i.e. permitting non-standard base-pairing at the 3rd anti-codon position. RNAcentral also lists the same sequence under 1 other name. Lineage: Bacteria; Pseudomonadati; Pseudomonadota; Gammaproteobacteria; Pseudomonadales. The record is from RNAcentral.
GGAGAGGUGGCCGAGUGGCUGAAGGCGUGCCCCUGCUAAGGGUAUAUCUGGGAAACUGGAUCGAGGGUUCGAAUCCCUCUCUCUCCGCCA